UACGUAGGGCGCGAGCGUUGUCCGGAUUUAUUGGGCGUAAAGAGCUCGUAGGCGGCUUGUCGCGUCGACUGUGAAAUCCCGCGGCUCAACUGCGGGUCUGCAGUCGAUACGGGCAGGCUAGAGUUCGGAAGAGGAGAGUGGAAUUCCUGGUGUAGCGGUGAAAUGCGCAGAUAUCAGGAAGAACACCAGUGGCGAAGGCGGCUCACUGGCCCGAUACUGACGCUGAGGCACGAAAGCGUGGGGAGCAAACAGG
RNAcentral lists this ribosomal RNA (253 nucleotides) under uncultured bacterium. Its description in RNAcentral is "partial 16S ribosomal RNA". It matches the Rfam family "Bacterial small subunit ribosomal RNA", at positions 524 to 776 of the family's 1533-position model. The record is from RNAcentral.